GACGGAAGGUGCAAGCGUUGCUCGGAAUCACUGGGCGUAAAGAGCUUGUAGGCGGUCUGUCGCGUCUGCUGUGAAAAUCCGGGGCUCAACCCCGGACUUGCAGUGGGUACGGGCAGACUAGAGUGUGGUAGGGGAGACUGGAAUUCCUGGUGUAGCGGUGAAAUGCGCAGAUAUCAGGAGGAACACCGAUGGCGAAGGCAGGUCUCUGGGCCACUACUGACGCUGAGAAGCGAAAGCAUGGGGAGCGAACAGG
RNAcentral lists this ribosomal RNA (253 nucleotides) under uncultured bacterium. RNAcentral's name for it is "partial 16S ribosomal RNA". It matches the Rfam family "Bacterial small subunit ribosomal RNA", at positions 524 to 776 of the family's 1533-position model. The record is from RNAcentral.